CCUACGGGUGGCAGCAGUAGGGAAUCUUUCACAAUGGGCGAAAGCCUGAUGGAGCAACGCCGCGUGCAGGAAGAAGGCCUUCGGGUUGUAAACUGCUUUUAUAAGAGAGGAAUAUGAUGGUGACUUAAGAAUAAGGAUUGGCUAACUACGUGCCAGCAGACGCGGGCAUACGUAGGUGCCGAGCAUUAUGCGUAGUAUCUGGGUGUAAAGAGUUGCGGAGGUUGCAGGAUGAAUAGCUAGUGAAAUCUGGUGUCUCCACCAUUCAGACUAUUAGCUAAACUGUGAAGCUCGAGACUGGUAGGGGUGACUGGAAUUGCAAGUGUAGCAGUGAAAUCCGUAGAUAUUAGAAGGAACACCGGUGGCGAAGGCGGGUUACUGGAACGUUACUGACGCUAAGGCACGAAAGCGUAGGGAGCAAACAGGAUUAGAUACCCCGGUAGUC
RNAcentral lists this ribosomal RNA (442 nucleotides) under uncultured bacterium. RNAcentral's name for it is "partial 16S ribosomal RNA". It matches the Rfam family "Bacterial small subunit ribosomal RNA", at positions 338 to 795 of the family's 1533-position model. The record is from RNAcentral.